RNAcentral lists this ribosomal RNA (496 nucleotides) under uncultured bacterium. Its description in RNAcentral is "partial 16S ribosomal RNA". It matches the Rfam family "Bacterial small subunit ribosomal RNA", at positions 28 to 506 of the family's 1533-position model. The record is from RNAcentral.
GAUGAACGCUGGCGGCGUGCCUAAUACAUGCAAGUCGAGCGAACAGACGAGGAGCUUGCUCCUCUGACGUUAGCGGCGGACGGGUGAGUAACACGUGGAUAACCUACCUAUAAGACUGGGAUAACUUCGGGAAACCGGAGCUAAUACCGGAUAAUAUAUUGAACCGCAUGGUUCAAUAGUGAAAGACGGUUUUGCUGUCACUUAUAGAUGGAUCCGCGCCGCAUUAGCUAGUUGGUAAGGUAACGGCUUACCAAGGCGACGAUGCGUAGCCGACCUGAGAGGGUGAUCGGCCACACUGGAACUGAGACACGGUCCAGACUCCGACGGGAGGCAGCAGUAGGGAAUCUUCCGCAAUGGGCGAAAGCCUGACGGAGCAACGCCGCGUGAGUGAUGAAGGUCUUCGGAUCGUAAAACGCUGUUAUUAGGGAAGAACAAAUGUGUAAGUAACGAUGCACGUCUGGACGGUACCUAAUCAGAAAGCCACGGCUAACUACGU